GAAUUUUGGACAAUGGGCGAAAGCCUGAACCAGCAAUGCCGCGUGCAGGAUGAAGGCCUUCGGGUUGUAAACUGCUUUUGUGCGGAACGAGAAGCUUUGGGUUAAUACCCUGGAGUCAUGACGGUACCGGAAGAAUAAGCACCGGCUAACUACCUGCCAGCGGCCGCGGGAAUCCGUAGGUUGCAAGCGUUAAUCGGAAUUACUGGGCGUAAAACGUGCGCAGGCGGUUUUGUAAGACAGAGGUGAAAACCCCGGGCUCAACCUGGGAACUGCCUUUGUUACUGCAAGGCUAGAGUACGGCAGAGGGGGGUGGAAUUCCGCGUGUAGCAGUGAAAUGCGUAGAUAUGCGGAGGAACACCGAUGGCGAAGGCAACCCCCUGGGCCUGUACUGACGCUCAUGCACGAAAGCGUGGGGAGCAAACA
This 423-nucleotide ribosomal RNA is filed under the name uncultured bacterium. RNAcentral's name for it is "partial 16S ribosomal RNA". It matches the Rfam family "Bacterial small subunit ribosomal RNA", at positions 359 to 774 of the family's 1533-position model. The record is from RNAcentral.